Molecule: ribosomal RNA, 496 nt
Filed under: uncultured bacterium
Lineage: Bacteria
Description: partial 16S ribosomal RNA
Rfam family: Bacterial small subunit ribosomal RNA
Source: RNAcentral
AUGAACGCUGGCGGCGUGCCUAAUACAUGCCAGUCGAGCGAACAGACGAGGAGCUUGCUCCUCUGACGUUAGCGGCGGACGGGUGAGUAACACGUGGAUAACCUACCUAUAAGACUGGGAUAACUUCGGGAAACCGGAGCUAAUACCGGAUAAUAUAUUGAACCGCAUGGUUCAAUAGUGAAAGACGGUUUUGCUGUCACUUAUAGAUGGAUCCGCGCCGCAUUAGCUAGUUGGUAAGGUAACGGCUUACCAAGGCAACGAUGCGUAGCCGACCUGAGAGGGUGAUCGGCCACACUGGAACUGAGACACGGUCCAGACUCCUACGGGAGGCAGCAGUAGGGAAUCUUCCGCAAUGGGCGAAAGCCUGACGGAGCAACGCCGCGUGUGUGAUGAAGGUCUUCGGAUCGUAAAACUCUGUUAUUAGGGAAGAACAAAUGUGUAAGUAACUAUGCACGUCUUGACGGUACCUAAUCAGAAAGCCACGGCUAACUACGUG